Molecule: ribosomal RNA, 406 nt
Filed under: uncultured bacterium
Lineage: Bacteria
Description: partial 16S ribosomal RNA
Rfam family: Bacterial small subunit ribosomal RNA
Source: RNAcentral
AUUGAACGCUGGCGGCAGGCCUAACACAUGCAAGUCGAACGAGUGGCGGACGGGUGAGUAAUGUCUGGGAAACUGCCUGAUGGAGGGGGAUAACUACUGGAAACGGUAGCUAAUACCGCAUACCAUCAGAUGUGCCCAGAUGGGCUGAGCUUGUGGGUGGGGUAACGGCCCACCAAGGCGACGAUCCCUAGCUGUUCUGAGAGGAUGACCAGCCACAUUGGAACGUAGACACGGUCCAGCCUCCUACGGGAGACAGCAGUGGGGAAUAUUGCACACUGGGCGCAAGCCUUAUGCCGCCAUGCCGCGUGUAUGAAGAAGGCCUUCGGGUUGUAAAGUACUUUCAGCGGGGAGGCGUUACCCGAAGAAGAAGCACCGGCUAACUCCGUGCCAGCAGCCGCGGUAAUAG